ACUCCCGAGCACGAGCAGAACACGCUUUGCCCUCGCACAGCAACUCCCGACCCCGACACCCAGCCGGCCAGCCGCCUCGCCGUCGCGGCGUCGCCGGUCGACGGCCGGAGCCCGGAGCCCAGUCGUCCAGGAGGCUCCCUCCAACCCUUCCCGGCUUCCCGCCCGGCCAACCUCCCGGUCCAGCCGCGCCCCUGCCCUGCGCGCGGCUGCGCCCCUGCCGUGCGCUCCCGCGGUCCCGGCGUCCCGCCUCCCCUUCCCGGCUUCCCUCCGUCCCGGCCACCCCCCUGCAAAGCCCCACCACGGCGGCAACAAGUUACAAGCGAGCAAACUGACCAAUUUAAGAUGUGGCGAGCCGCUGUUCUGCUAUGCUUCAUUCUUCAAGGUGCCACUGUUGCUGCUGAUAACGAGACAUGGGGCUACGUUGAAAUUCGUCACAAGGCGCACCUAUUUUGGUGGUACUACAAAAGCCCACAUCGGGUGUCCUCGCCAGUAAAGCCAUGGCCAACCAUCCUCUGGUUGGAGGGCGGUCCGGGAGGGUCAGGCGUCGGGGGUGGCAACUUCCAGGGGAUCGGGCCGCUGGAUGUCAAUCUGAAGCCACACAACUCGACGUGGCUGCAGAAGGCUGAUCUCAUCUUCGUGGACUUACCAGUGGGUGUUGGGUAUAGCUACGUGGAGGACCCAAGCGUGCUAGCUACGACGGACGUGCAAGUUGCUGCUGAUGCCACCGAGCUCCUCAAGGCACUUACCAAGGAGAUACCCACCUUGCACAGCAGCCCGUUGUUCCUUGUCGGUGAGUCCUAUGGUGGCAAGCUUGCAGCGAAGAUUGGAAUCUCCGUGGCAAAGGCCAUCCACGCCGGGGCCCUCAAGCUCACACUAGGGGGUGUGGUGCUUGGGGAUAGCUGGAUCUCACCAGAUGAUUUUGCGCUGUCAUAUGCGCAACUGUUGCGUGAUGUAUCGAGGCUGAGCGACGAAGCUGUUGCCCCUCUCAACAGAAUGGCGGCAAUUGUAAAAGAGCAGAUAGCAGCCGGACAAUUCACCACGGCGAAGAUGACGUGGACGAAUCUUGUUGAUUUGAUUGACCAGCAGAGUGAUGGCGUGGAUAUGCUAAAUUUCUUGCUUGACAAAGGCGAAGGCUCAUCGACGAGCCAGGUGUUUCCGUCGACCCCCAACACCAUUGACGGUCUCAUGAAUGGGGUCGUUAAAGAAAAGUUGAAGGUUAUUCCUAAGAACAUAAUUUGGCAAGGAGUGGCUAUUCAAGUUUUCGAAGCAAUGAAUGCCACCUACAUGAAGCCAGCAAUCGAUGAGGUUGAUCAAUUGCUAGCAUAUGGAGUAAAUGUGUCGGUUUACAAUGGGCAAUUUGAUGUGAUAUGCUCGACAAUCGGUGUAGAAGCUUGGGUCAAAAAACUCAACAUACAUAGCAUGGGCUUCAAGGCAGAGUUACAGGGGCACGACAAGCUGUGCAGAGAGGUAGUCACGCCAAGACAUAGCGGAGGAGUCACAGGGGUAGCCAUGGACCAAAGAUCUUGGAAGCUUGGAGGGGUAAAUGCCGAGAGUGUUGCGAACCAGGGUGGCCUUCGGGCAGUGGAGGAACAAAUGGUUUGUGGCUUUAGAUACACAGGAGCACAAACCAUUUCCAGCUGGAAACCCAAGGAAGGGGGGUGGAGGAGGCUAAACAUUGUAAAACAAAUUUCAUAAGCAAGUCUCCUCCACGGUCCAGAAGAAAGCACGUCGGAUUGCGUCGAGCGCCUCAAAGCUUUUUGGGGGAGUUGGAAAACUGACAUGAAGUAGGUGGCGAGGGAGUCGAAAACGAAGGAGGUGAGGGUUAGCCUAGCUGGCGGUGCAGAAGAGGAGCUUAGCCCUCUACCCUGUUUGAUAUUUGAAGCUGUUAAAAGAGAGAGGGAGUGUGUAGGCAGAGAGAGGGAGGCCGAGGUACGUUUGUGGGAAGGAGGACACAGACCAGCCAAUCCAUGCCUUGUGCAUAAGAAGCGCUUCCACAUAAUGGCGUCAUCCACGAGUCACACUCAGUAGUGAAUGAUGGACACUGUAACAGAACAAAGACGGGUCGAUUAGUACCAUAAUGCAUAUGGGCUGGUCUGAAGAGUUUCUUGAGCACGCCAAGGCAGGCUUUGCGAUACUGUGAUUCUCCAGCGCGCUGCCUCAACCCCGUGAAGGCAUACGCUAGAUCAUACCAGAACCUGAACUUCUACUGGAUCCUCGGAGCUGG
Triticum dicoccoides is the source of this 2224-nucleotide RNA transcript. It is a transcript of the gene named serine carboxypeptidase-like 51, with no coding region annotated. Lineage: Eukaryota; Viridiplantae; Streptophyta; Magnoliopsida; Poales; Poaceae. The transcript is spliced from 13 exons. The record is from RefSeq and is a predicted model, not a curated record.